Petromyzon marinus (sea lamprey) is the source of this 1339-nucleotide non-coding RNA. The record is from RefSeq and is a predicted model, not a curated record. Lineage: Eukaryota; Metazoa; Chordata; Hyperoartia; Petromyzontiformes; Petromyzontidae.
GCCACCACCACUAGUCACAACACAGCCACCAUCAUCACCACGACCACCACCACUGUAGUCACAACACAGCCACCAUCAUCACCACGACCUCUGUCACCACCACGAGUAGGGUAGAGACUGAGAGUGAAGGCUGGCAACUCCCACCACGAGUAGGGUAGAGACUGAGAGUGAAGGCUGGCAACCCCCAUCACCACCACCACGAGGAGGGUAGAGACUGAGAGUGAAGGCUGGCAACCCCCACCAUCACCACCACGAGUAGGGUAGAGACUGAGAGUGAAGGCUGGCAACCCCCACCAUCACCACGAGUAGGGUAGAGACUGAGAGUGAAGGCUGGCAACUCCCACCAUCACCACGAGUAGGGUAGAGACUGAGAGUGAAGGCUGGCAACCCCCACCAUCACCACCACGAGUAGGGUAGAGACUGAGAGUGAAGGCUGGCAACUCCCACCAUCACCACGAGUAGGGUAGAGACUGAGAGUGAAGGCUGGCAACCCCCAUCACCACCACGAGUAGGGUAGAGACUGAGAGUGAAGGCUGGCAACCCCCAUCACCACCACGAGGAGGGUAGAGAGGUGAGAGUGAAGGCUGGCAACCCCCUUCACCACCACGAGUAGGGUAGAGACUGAGAGUGAAGGCUGGCAACCCCCACCAUCACCACCACGAGUAGGGUAGAGACUGAGAGUGAAGGCUGGCAACCCCCACCAUCACCACGAGUAGGGUAGAGACUGAGAGUGAAGGCUGGCAACCCCCACCAUCACCACCACGAGGAGGGUAGAGACUGAGAGUGAAGGCUGGCAACCCCCACCACCACCACCACGAGUAGGGUAGAGACUGAGAGUGAAGGCUGGCAACCCCCACCACCACCACCACGAGUAGGGUAGAGACUGAGAGUGAAGGCUGGCAACCCCCACCACCACCACCACGAGUAGGGUAGAGACUGAGAGUGAAGGCUGGCAACCCCCACCACGAGUAGGGUAGAGAGGUGAGAGUGAAGGCUGGCAACCCCCACCACCACCACCACGAGUAGGGUAGAGACUGAGAGUGAAGGCUGGCAACCCCCACCACCACCACGAGUAGGGUAGAGACUGAGAGUGAAGGCUGGCAACCCCCACCACCACCACCACGAGUAGGGUAGAGACUGAGAGUGAAGGCUGGCAACCCCCUUCCCCUCCCCCUUCCCCGGCGUCACCGCCGAGUGCACCGUCGGUAUCUGUGCCGGGCCCUUCCCCGUGGGCCCGGCGCUCGAAUCUGGUGCCAGAGCAAGGAGCAAGUCGUGGCAUCGUUGGGCGCCAGGUCUCUGUCGUACCUCGCCGGCCCUGGUAUCUCAGCUGCUACAGGGA